This 255-nucleotide ribosomal RNA is filed under the name Klebsiella michiganensis. RNAcentral's name for it is "partial 23S ribosomal RNA". It matches the Rfam family "Bacterial large subunit ribosomal RNA", at positions 1422 to 1676 of the family's 2925-position model. RNAcentral also lists the same sequence under 1 other name. Lineage: Bacteria; Pseudomonadati; Pseudomonadota; Gammaproteobacteria; Enterobacterales; Enterobacteriaceae. The record is from RNAcentral.
GAAACAGGUUAAUAUUCCUGUACUCGGUGUUACUGCGAAGGGGGGACGGAGAAGGCUAUGUUGGCCGGGCGACGGUUGUCCCGGUUUAAGCAUGUAGGCGGAUGUUCCAGGUAAAUCCGGAACGUUAUUAACGCUGAGGUGUGAUGACGAGGCACUACGGUGCUGAAGUGACAAAUGCCCUGCUUCCAGGAAAAGCCUCUAAGCAUCAGGUAACAUCAAAUCGUACCCCAAACCGACACAGGUGGUCAGGUAGAG